AAAUAACUCUGCGGUAAUCAUGAAGUCGUGAAGCCGCGAUUCUAAUGUCUAUUAGGAAAAAUCCCAAUAAACAUGAGCGGACUAAUAAUAAAAAGAGAUUAUUCUCUGAAUUUUUUAUUUAUCACGAACGAUUCUACAGACAGUUUUUAAUAGGAUGAUAUUUAACGAAUUCCCUGCCUAAGUGCUUUACCACAUUUCCCAUACUCCCAGAGUGAAAUAGGCGCGUAUAAAAACAGCAAAAAAUGGAUUUUUGCUCAUAUUUCUAGCAAGGAAAGGAUCGUGUGUGAUAUCACCACACACGAUCGACAUUAGACAGGGGUUAGGUCGGGGUUGAGAAUCAGGAGUUGAGAA
Molecule: non-coding RNA, 351 nt
Filed under: Pectobacterium carotovorum subsp. carotovorum PC1
Lineage: Bacteria; Pseudomonadati; Pseudomonadota; Gammaproteobacteria; Enterobacterales; Pectobacteriaceae
Description: Soft rot Enterobacteriaceae Rev 13 asRNA
Rfam family: Soft rot Enterobacteriaceae Rev 13 asRNA
About the family: From bacteria cultured under starvation conditions. Antisense to ECA0388.
Source: Rfam by way of RNAcentral